Molecule: transfer RNA, 62 nt
Filed under: Kapaibacterium sp. (SeqCode)
Lineage: Bacteria; Pseudomonadati; Bacteroidota; Eximiradiia; Eximiradiales; Kapaibacteriaceae (SeqCode)
Description: tRNA-Thr
Rfam family: tRNA
About the family: Transfer RNA (tRNA) molecules are approximately 80 nucleotides in length. Their secondary structure includes four short double-helical elements and three loops (D, anti-codon, and T loops).
Source: RNAcentral
AGCUCAGUUGGUAGAGCAUUUGCCUCGUAAGCAAAAGGCCAAGGGUUCGACUCCCUUAACAG